GCCGGAUUAGCUCAGUUGGUAGAGCACCUGAUUUGUAAUCAGGAGGCCGCGGGUUCGAUCCCUGCAUCCGGCACCA
RNAcentral lists this transfer RNA (76 nucleotides) under Alphaproteobacteria bacterium. RNAcentral describes it as "tRNA-Thr". It matches the Rfam family "tRNA". Rfam says of the family: Transfer RNA (tRNA) molecules are approximately 80 nucleotides in length. Their secondary structure includes four short double-helical elements and three loops (D, anti-codon, and T loops). The record is from RNAcentral. Lineage: Bacteria; Pseudomonadati; Pseudomonadota; Alphaproteobacteria.